AUGAACGCUAGCGACAGGCCUAACACAUGCAAGUCGAGGGGCAGCACAAGGAGCAAUCUGAGGUGGCGACCGGCGCACGGGUGAGUAACACGUAUGCAACCUGCCUGUAAGCGGGGAAUAACCCGUUGAAAGACGGACUAAUACCGCAUAAAACUGGGAAUCUGCAUGGAUAUUCAGUUAAACAUUUAUGGCUUACAGAUGGGCAUGCGCAUGAUUAGAUAGUUGGAGAGGUAACGGCUCCCCAAGUCAACGAUCAUUAGGGGUUCUGAGAGGAAGGUCCCCCACACUGGUACUGAGACACGGACCAGACUCCUACGGGAGGCAGCAGUGAGGAAUAUUGGUCAAUGGGCGAGAGCCUGAACCAGCCAAGUCGCGUGCAGGAAGAAUGUCCUAUGGAUUGUAAACUGCUUUUGCAGGGGAAUAAAGUGCGGCACGUGUGCCGUUUUGUAUGUACUCUGCGAAUAAGGAUCGGCUAACUCCGUG
This 483-nucleotide ribosomal RNA is filed under the name uncultured bacterium. Its description in RNAcentral is "bacterial SSU rRNA". It matches the Rfam family "Bacterial small subunit ribosomal RNA", at positions 29 to 507 of the family's 1533-position model. The record is from RNAcentral.